GCCAGGAGUGGUAACGCACGCCUGUAAUCCCAGCAGCUCAGGAGGCUGAGGCAGGAGGAUCGCAGAAUCAAAGCCAACCUCAGCAACUUAGCAAGACCCUUUCUCUA
This 107-nucleotide small RNA is filed under the name Marmota monax (woodchuck). The record is from RNAcentral. Lineage: Eukaryota; Metazoa; Chordata; Mammalia; Rodentia; Sciuridae.